AGCAGCCGCGGUAAUUCCAGCUCCAAUAGCGUAUAUUAAAGUUGUUGCAGUUAAAAAGCUCGUAGUUGAAUUUCGGGGUUAGUAGGUUGGUCAUGCCUCUGGUAUGUACUGGUCUCACUGAUUCCUCCUUCCUGAUGAACCUUAAUGCCAUUUAUUUGGUGUUUUGGGGAAUUUGGACUGUUACUUUGAAAAAAUUAGAGUGUUUAAAGCAAGCUAACGCUUGAAUACAUUAGCAUGGAAUAAUGAAAUAGGACGUUCGAUCCUAUUUUGUUGGUUUCUAGGAUUGACGUAAUGAUUAAUAGGGAUAGUUGGGGGCAUUAGUAUUCAAUUGUCAGAGGUGAAAUUCUUGGAUUUAUUGAAGACUAACUACUGCGAAAGCAUUUGCCAAGGAUGUUUUCAUUAAUCAAGAACGAAGGUUAGGGGAUCGAAGACGAUCAGAUACCGUCGUAGUCUUAACCAUAAACUAUGCCGACUAGGGAUCGGAUGAUGUUAAUUUUUUAAUGACUCAUUCGGCGCCUUA
This 520-nucleotide ribosomal RNA is filed under the name uncultured Glomus. RNAcentral describes it as "SSU rRNA". It matches the Rfam family "Eukaryotic small subunit ribosomal RNA", at positions 569 to 1090 of the family's 1831-position model. Lineage: Eukaryota; Fungi; Glomeromycota; Glomeromycetes; Glomerales; Glomeraceae. The record is from RNAcentral.